RNAcentral lists this long non-coding RNA (883 nucleotides) under Capsicum annuum. RNAcentral's name for it is "long non-coding RNA (CANN_LNC009566)". Lineage: Eukaryota; Viridiplantae; Streptophyta; Magnoliopsida; Solanales; Solanaceae. The record is from RNAcentral.
UUAACUGUUCAUGUAACCAUUGUCUCAGUGGAAAAAAAAAAUUCAAAAUUAAAACUGAUAAAAUCUUACUUGAGAUCAACAAUGUCUCAAGAGAGAUUGAUGUUAGGGUUUUUGCCCUAGUUUUCUUACCAAAAUUAAGUUUUACUUUUUCUUGUAAGGAAAAUAAAAGUAACCAUAAAUACUUUUACUUUUUCCUAAAAGGAAAAUAUAAUUCUUUUUCAUAUUUGGCUAACCUCUUUCUUGGAGGAAAGGUUUUGGAUAUUUAUAAAUAGAAGACCCCCAUUCUCAUACCAUAACACAAUAGCAUCCACAAUGUAGUCUUUUAAGAGUUUCGUUUAGGGGAAGAUUUUCUCUCUCAUUAGUUUUAUGCUCUUUAAUAUUAUUUUUAAUAUUAGGUUUUAUAUGUAGGCUAAUUGACCAAAUUAUACAAUAACAUUAUGUUUUUAGUAUUGUUUUUUGUUGUCAUCUUAUUUAUCGUCUCAUAGUUUGCAACUAAUAUCUUCCGCAUGGACGCCCUCUCGUUUCGAACCCAACAAGUGGUAUCAAAGCCAGGUUCAAUGGUCCAAUGGUGUGGUGAGACAAGUUUAAACAGGUUCAAAGCGGUUUCAAAAUCAAGCUGCAACCAAUUUGAUGAUAAUGAAGAUAUAUGUUCAAAAGCUACAUGUGGAGAUAAUUGUCAAUCAUAUUUUCAACAAUCUUGCUGUCACAUAUUUGAAAAUAAAGCUCUUUUUUUUAACCCUGCAAAAGGGCUCCAAUAUUUUUUAACCUGAAAAGGGCUAAUAUAUUUUUUAACCCCAAAAGCUCCAUUUUUAAACAUGCCAAACAACAGUGAUAUAUGAAGAAUAUAUAUGAAGGAUGAAGAUCAUGCACAAGAAGAAGGAGG